UACGGAGGAUGCGAGCGUUAUCCGGAUUUAUUGGGUUUAAAGGGUGCGUAGGCGGACUUUUAAGUGAGAUGUGAAAUACCCGGUCUCAACUUGGGUGCUGCAUUUCAAACUGGAAGUCUAGAGUGCAGGAGAGGAGAAUGGAAUUCCUAGUGUAGCGGUGAAAUGCGUAGAGAUUAGGAAGAACACCAGUGGCGAAGGCGAUUCUCUGGACUGUAACUGACGCUGAGGCUCGAAAGCGUGGGGAGCAAACAGGAUUAGAUACCCGCGUA
Molecule: ribosomal RNA, 269 nt
Filed under: uncultured prokaryote
Description: partial 16S ribosomal RNA
Rfam family: Bacterial small subunit ribosomal RNA
Source: RNAcentral